This 468-nucleotide ribosomal RNA is filed under the name uncultured bacterium. Its description in RNAcentral is "partial 16S ribosomal RNA". It matches the Rfam family "Bacterial small subunit ribosomal RNA", at positions 28 to 507 of the family's 1533-position model. The record is from RNAcentral.
GACGAACGCUGGCGGCGUGCUUAACACAUGCAAGUCGAACGGAAAGGGCCUGCUUUUGUGGGGUGCUCGAGUGGCGAACGGGUGAGUAACACGUGAGUAACCUGCCCUUGACUUUGGGAUAACUUCAGGAAACUGGGGCUAAUACCGUAUAGGAGCUCCUGCUUCAUGGUGGGGGUGGGAAAGUUUCGGCGGUUGGGGAUGGACUCGCGGCUUAUCAGCUUGUUGGUGGGGUAGUGGCUUACCAAGGCUUUGACGGGUAGCCGGCCUGAGAGGGUGACCGGCCACAUUGGGACUGAGAUACGGACCAGACUCCUACGGGAGGCAGCAGUGGGGAAUAUUGCACAAUGGGCGGAAGCCUGAUGCAGCAACGCCGCGUGCGGGAUGACGGCCUUCGGGUUGUAAACCGCUUUCGCCUGUGACGAAGCGUGAGUGACGGUAAUGGGUAAAGAAGCACCGGCUAACUACGUG